Long non-coding RNA from Alosa sapidissima (American shad), 1777 nucleotides. RefSeq lists it as uncharacterized. The record is from RefSeq and is a predicted model, not a curated record. The transcript has 2 exons. Lineage: Eukaryota; Metazoa; Chordata; Actinopteri; Clupeiformes; Clupeidae.
CAUGGUACUUUACAUGGUUUUAAUAGUUGCCACAUAUAGAUGUAAAGUCUGUAUGCAGUAUGCGUGCAUGUAUAUGCCUACAGAUGAAGACGGAUUUUUGUGGCAGGAAGUUAUUGCUGCAGAUCUCUUUACCACAUAGCUGAGAAGCUCAGCGUGUUGGCAGUUGCUGUGGGCACUGGCGGGCACAGGUGUCACAACAGUGUUCCUUACAAUGUGGUACAAUGGUAAAUAUGGAGUUUUUCCUCUGUGGUACAGUAUGACAGAUUAUUCAGAACAGUUUAUUAUGCUUCUCUGUUGUUCUUUAUAGUUAAUGCUGCCAACACCCCCCUUUGCAAUAUAGACCACUGCAAAGGAAGGGUAAAACCAGUAACAGAAUAAGCCAAUCAGAUCAGGUUAACACCACAGGAACACCUCCCUGAGGGCAGCAGUGCCAGGACAAGGAGGGAACUCUGAAGGGUGUCUCAUGUUUGGAGCAUCAGAAAACUUGUAAUGGUCAAGAUGUUUUCUGAAUUUACAGCGUUCAUCCUUCAAAUGGAUUUUCUUUCGAGUGUUGUCCUUAUUCUACUGGAAAAACUGGUGGAGAGAGAGUUCUACUGUCCUUGCAACUCAUAUAACCAAUUAUUUUUUGGGGGGCUUCUGAUUGGUUCAUGUUUAGUAAUUUUCUCUAUGACUUUGCAAAUCCAAACACGUCGUUACAAGGAACUGCUGAAACAGGAAACAGGAGAAAAAGCAAAAGACACAGAAAGAGAAGACGCUGGGGUAAUUGAGAACAGUGAAGCACAAGAAAUUAUACAAUUCAGUCGGAUAGAGCACAAAAGGGAGAAAAAGGAAAAAGUUUUGUACAGAUGUAUUGUUGUCUUAUCAGGGUUGAUUUCCUUAAUCACUUGGAUCACAUUGUGGUACUCUGAUGGACACUACUACGUCUGUCAGCAGAGCAUGUGGGAUGGUGUUUGGACCAAGCCCAACCCUUUAAUACGAAUGUCUCACAAGUGGUGCGAACCAAAUAACCAAACUCUUCGUGAACAACAAAGAAUUUUCUCCACCGAUAUGUUCAUUUAUUCUCAGGUAAUAUCCAUAUGGAUGUUUAUUUCCCUUGGUUUUGUUAUAUGUAUGUAUUCCGGGUUGCUGAUUUAUGUGGAUUGGAACUAUUAAGAGAAGAAGACCAAUUAAACAAGAAACAGAGGAAAAAGCAAUGAAAAAAGCAGAGGAAACUAUGCCCUGUGCUGCAAAGGAUGCACUGUAAAAUAUAUCUGUAGAAAUGUGAUGUUUUUGAAGGAAUUUCCCCUGUAUAUGUUUACAUUUACUUUACAUGUUGCAUUGUGGGAGCAAGGGUCCACACGAUCACAGAUUUUGAAACAAGAAAAGUUGAUAGCUCUACGGUGCUCAUUGAUACAGAUCCUGAGUUGCCUGUGCGUGCACCGCGUAUACUGUAAACUGGAAAGGAUUUGGGCUGCCUUUACAAAAAACUGUACAGUGUCGCAUUGGUGGAUUGUCUACUGUUGAGUGAGUGCUACAGUACCUAUGAUUCUGUGUGUCAGUGAGAUAAUGUGUAAUCAGUUAGUGAAGUUGUAUUUGCGUUUUCCAUGUUGCGUAUUUAUUAGUGUGUAUUGUGUAUCUUUAAUUCUACCUUAUGUGAUUAUCCUCGUGUUGAUGUGUGUGCUUAACCUUAUUGUGUGUUACGUGUGCGGUUGAGACUACCCUUGUGUUGCCCUGUGCCAAUGUCUGUGUAUGGCUUGAUCUCUGUUCCAAUACAUGGUCAUGCUUACCAUAAGUGGUA